UAGGGAAUCUUCGGCAAUGGACGGAAGUCUGACCGAGCAACGCCGCGUGAGUGAAGAAGGUUUUCGGAUCGUAAAGCUCUGUUGUUAGAGGAGAACGUUGGUAGGAGUGGAAAAUCUACCAAGUGACGGUAACUAACCAGAAAGGGACGGCUAACUACGUGCCAGCAGCCGCGGUAAUACGUAGGUCCCGAGCGUUGUCCGGAUUUAUUGGGCGUAAAGCGAGCGCAGGCGGUUCUUUAAGUCUGAAGUUAAAGGCAGUGGCUUAACCAUUGUACGCUUUGGAAACUGGAGGACUUGAGUGCAGAAGGGGAGAGUGGAAUUCCAUGUGUAGCGGUGAGAUGCGUAGAUAUAUGGAGGAACACCGGUGGCGAAAGCGGCUCUCUGGUCUGUAACUGACGCUGAGGCUCGAAAGCGUGGGGAGCAAACAGG
Molecule: ribosomal RNA, 429 nt
Filed under: Bacillota bacterium
Lineage: Bacteria; Bacillati; Bacillota
Description: Firmicutes bacterium partial 16S ribosomal RNA
Rfam family: Bacterial small subunit ribosomal RNA
Source: RNAcentral